Molecule: transfer RNA, 90 nt
Filed under: Lachnospiraceae bacterium
Lineage: Bacteria; Bacillati; Bacillota; Clostridia; Lachnospirales; Lachnospiraceae
Also listed under: 1 other name
Description: tRNA-Ser
Rfam family: tRNA
About the family: Transfer RNA (tRNA) molecules are approximately 80 nucleotides in length. Their secondary structure includes four short double-helical elements and three loops (D, anti-codon, and T loops). Further hydrogen bonds mediate the characteristic L-shaped molecular structure. tRNAs have two regions of fundamental functional importance: the anti-codon, which is responsible for specific mRNA codon recognition, and the 3' end, to which the tRNAs corresponding amino acid is attached (by aminoacyl-tRNA synthetases). tRNAs cope with the degeneracy of the genetic code in two manners: having more than one tRNA (with a specific anti-codon) for a particular amino acid; and 'wobble' base-pairing, i.e. permitting non-standard base-pairing at the 3rd anti-codon position.
Source: RNAcentral
GGAGAAGUACUCAAGUUGGCUGAAGAGGCGCCCCUGCUAAGGGUGUAGGUCGGUAAUCCCGGCGCGAGGGUUCAAAUCCCUCCUUCUCCG